This 253-nucleotide ribosomal RNA is filed under the name uncultured bacterium. Its description in RNAcentral is "partial 16S ribosomal RNA". It matches the Rfam family "Bacterial small subunit ribosomal RNA", at positions 524 to 776 of the family's 1533-position model. The record is from RNAcentral.
UACGAAGGGGGCUAGCGUUGCUCGGAAUCACUGGGCGUAAAGCGCACGUAGGCGGCUUUUUAAGUCAGGGGUGAAAUCCUGGAGCUCAACUCCAGAACUGCCUUUGAUACUGGGAAGCUUGAGUCCGGAAGAGGUGAGUGGAACUCCGAGUGUAGAGGUGAAAUUCGUAGAUAUUCGGAAGAACACCAGUGGCGGAGGCGGCUCACUGGUCCGGUACUGACGCUGAGGUGCGAAAGCGUGGGGAGCAAACAGG